Monodelphis domestica (gray short-tailed opossum) is the source of this 1641-nucleotide non-coding RNA. NCBI's taxonomy places the organism in Eukaryota, Metazoa, Chordata, Mammalia, Didelphimorphia, Didelphidae. The record is from RefSeq and is a predicted model, not a curated record.
CCAACCCCAGGAAUUCCUGUGCACUCCCCCCACCACAGAAAUUCCUGUUCACUCCAGUAUAAAAGACCUGCAAGCCCCAGAAUCAGCACUUGAGCCAUUUUUUAGGGUGCUGAGCCCAAGCUGCAGUUUGUUUAAUAAACCCCCUCCCAUGUGUUUCCUUGUUGGUUAUCGUUUCAUCCUUGGGAUCAAUUCACCGGGCACUUCAUAUGGGGGCUCAUCUUGGGAUCCCAUGAAAGAAACAGAGUCUGAACAGAGGGAGGGGACCCCUGUCCUGGGUCAACUCGAGAUGACGGGAUCUGGAACACAUCACAUAUAGGUGGAGGACAGUAGGGCUGGUGAGUAGCCUCGGGAGGUGUUAAAUGAGUGUGCAGAGAUAUUGUGUGAGCGUGAGGGGAAAAGGUCUCCUGAGUCAUCAACAUACAGCUAAGUGGCUGACCACUGGUCCCUGGCCCCAGGGGUUGUACAGAGAUAGCCUAUUGCCAAGCCGGACUCUUUCCGGAGAUCUGCCCACCGAUUUCUGAGUGCAGACCAGGAAACUAUACAGUUCCUAUUUCCCUUGAGGGGAUAGGUCAGAAAUUCUGGGAAUCAUGUGGAUGAAGACUGUGACACCCCUCUUGACUCUCUUCACCUAAGGAUGCCCGACUCCCUUAAAUAAGCAGUGAAGCUGUCUGGUACAAAAGGAGUCUGCAGGAGGACAGAAGUCUGCAGGAGAGGAGGCUGAAGGCAUCCACCAGAUUUGAAAGACUUAAAAGAUUUUGGGGAAAUGGGGUAGUGUUUUGAUGUUUAGAUUUUGCCAAAGGCAGACUGCCUGCCUUUCUGGCUCAAAUGUCAAUGCGCUGCUGGCAUUGGGGAAUGCCCCCAAAUGCCAAUUACCCGUACCUGUCCCCAAGGUUUUCCCACCAUUAGUGAUGAGAGUCCAACCCCAUAUAGCAUUACCCAUUUGCCCAUAUAUUUGGUCAGCGAUGUCCAGUCUUGAUCUAAAGGGGGGGUGUCAACAUGGAAUCUAGGAACCCCAAACUUGUAGCCUAGUAAGAUCUGAUAAACCCCAAGUUUUAGGAUUAGCUUGUAAACUGGAGACCCCAAAGCUUGUACUUUUUCCCCCUUUUUCCAUGGGAAUCCACCCUGAAGGGAAUCCCAGGCUAGCAGUUUCAGACUGAGUGGGGGACCCUCAGGGGAAUGACAAUCCUAGUUGAGUGGGACUAAGCAUAUGCUAAGGACCCUCUUUGUCUUAGUUAGUCUCCCCUUUCCCAAGAAGCCCCCCACCUGGGCAGGAACCAUCCUUUAGUAUCCAUGGUAAGCAGCCCCUUCUCUUACACCCUAGCCUCCAGCUAGGAUUCCUUUCCCAAGCUUGAUUGUAUGCUGUCAGUGUAGUUUGAACACUUCCAUUUUCCUUGUAGCUAUAGUGAUGUCAAUCACCUUUCCCUGCCCCUGGACUCCCCAAAUGGUAUCUAGGUUCCCCAAAUUCUUUUGUUCCUUGGAGUUGUCAUCUUAUCUUGGUGCCAAUGCCAGGGGCCAGUGACCUGAGCGGCCACAGUUCAGUCCUUGGACUCUGUGCAGUCGUGUGUGGCGCAGCUCUGUGUCCAGGCCUACUAGUGCUGAACCCCUUUUGCCCUGGAUUAAACAGUGAUCUUGACUAUUUAA